RNAcentral lists this ribosomal RNA (447 nucleotides) under uncultured bacterium. RNAcentral's name for it is "SSU rRNA". It matches the Rfam family "Bacterial small subunit ribosomal RNA", at positions 26 to 518 of the family's 1533-position model. The record is from RNAcentral.
AGAGCGAACGCUGGCGGCAGGCUUAACACAUGCAAGUCGAGCGGGCGUAGCAAUACGUCAGCGGCAGACGGGUGAGUAACGCGUGGGAACGUACCUUUGGUUCGGAACAACACAGGGAAACUUGUGCUAAUACCGGAUAAGCCCUUACGGGGAAAGAUUUAUCGCCGAAAGAUCGGCCCGCGUCUGAUUAGCUAGUUGGUGAGGUAACGGCUCACCAAGGCGACGAUCAGUAGCUGGUCUGAGAGGAUGAUCAGCCACAUUGGGACUGAGACACGGCCCAAACUCCUACGGGAGGCAGCAGUGGGGAAUAUUGGACAAUGGGCGCAAGCCUGAUCCAGCCAUGCCGCGUGAGUGAUGAAGGCCCUAGGGUUGUAAAGCUCUUUUGUGCGGGAAGAUAAUGACGGUACCGCAAGAAUAAGCCCCGGCUAACUUCGCGCCAGCAGCCGC